UACGUAGGGUGCAAGCGUUAUCCGGAUUUACUGGGCGUAAAGAGUUCCGUCGGUGUUCUCUGAAGUCGCUUGUUCAAUCCUAGGGCUCAACUCUAGACUGGCAAGCGAAACUCAGAGAAUUGAGUCUGUGAGGGGAAGCUAGAAUUCUCGGUGGAGGGGUGAAAUCCGUAGAUAUCGAGAGGAAUACCAGCCGCGAAGGCGGGCUUCUAGCACAGUACUGACACUCAGGGACGAAAGCUUGGGGAGCAAA
Molecule: ribosomal RNA, 250 nt
Filed under: uncultured bacterium
Lineage: Bacteria
Description: partial 16S ribosomal RNA
Rfam family: Bacterial small subunit ribosomal RNA
Source: RNAcentral